UGGGUUGUGGCUCAGUGGUAGAGCACUUGCCUCACAUGUAUGAAACACUGGGUUCAAUCCUCAGCACCACAU
Molecule: non-coding RNA, 72 nt
Organism: Ictidomys tridecemlineatus (thirteen-lined ground squirrel)
Lineage: Eukaryota; Metazoa; Chordata; Mammalia; Rodentia; Sciuridae
Source: Rfam